RNAcentral lists this unclassified non-coding RNA (648 nucleotides) under Hevea brasiliensis (rubber tree). The record is from RNAcentral. Lineage: Eukaryota; Viridiplantae; Streptophyta; Magnoliopsida; Malpighiales; Euphorbiaceae.
GGCAUUUUGGACCUGUAACCCAUCAAUAUGUCAAUUUAUGUCAUUGAUUGAGAAGCAAGGUAGCAAGUUAUGUUAAAACCUACAAAGUAACUAAAAGAGAAAAAGAGAAUGCCCAAAAAUCAGAUGAUCAUUUGCAAUGUGCAUUAAUUUAUUUAUGAACAUAAAAUCAUGACUGAGCCAAUAAGAUAAGGCUUUCCAUUUUUUAUUUCAUACAUCAAACUUCCAAAUGUACACAUCCAUUGACUCAACAUUUACAAUAAGGUACCUGUAGACAGGCAACAAUUACAGAAUGGAACAACGAUUAUAAGAUCAGCCACCCUAAAUACACAAAUAAUUGCAAACAAGAAAAUUUUCAGGGACAAAAAGCUUCUCCGUGGACAAAAUCAUCUUAAAUAGGAUAUUGCAAGUAACUUAUGUAAAGCAGAGUCUAAUGAUCCUUUUUCUAGAACUUAUGCGCAACGGCAUCAUAUAGUAAAAUAAUCAUGUAGUGCAAGGUCCCCUCGGUUAGCCACUUCACUUGUAAUUUUGUUUCUACUCUUAGCAACAAAAUAAGCAAUCAUCAACAACCACAAGAGAAAAUGUGGUCUUCCAAAAAAAAUAAUAGUUAAAAUACAAUUUACACAUAUUUGCAUAUUAUUUGGUUUUUUU